AGUGAACGCUGGCGGUAGGCCUAACACAUGCAAGUCGAACGGCAGCACAGUAAGAGCUUGCUCUUACGGGUGGCGAGUGGCGGACGGGUGAGGAAUACAUCGGAAUCUACUUUUUCGUGGGGGAUAACGUAGGGAAACUUACGCUAAUACCUCAUACGACCUACGGGUGAAAGCAGUGGUUCUUCGGACCUUGCGCGUUUGAAUGAGCCGAUGUCGGAUUAGCUAGUUGGCGGGGUAAAGGCCCACCAAGGCGACGAUCCGUAGCUGAUCUGAGAGGAUGAUCGGCCACACUGGAACUGAGACACGGUCCAGACUCCUACGGGAGGCAGCAGUGGGGAAUAUUGGACAAUGGGCGCAAGCCUGAUCCAGCCAUACCGCGUGAGUGAAGAAGGCCUUCGGAUUGUAAAGCCCUUUUAUUGGGAAAGAAAAGCAGCGGAUUAAUACCCCGCUGUUCUGACGGUACCUAAAGAAUAAGCACCGGCUAACUUCGUG
RNAcentral lists this ribosomal RNA (492 nucleotides) under uncultured bacterium. Its description in RNAcentral is "partial 16S ribosomal RNA". It matches the Rfam family "Bacterial small subunit ribosomal RNA", at positions 29 to 507 of the family's 1533-position model. The record is from RNAcentral.